This 481-nucleotide ribosomal RNA is filed under the name uncultured bacterium. RNAcentral's name for it is "partial 16S ribosomal RNA". It matches the Rfam family "Bacterial small subunit ribosomal RNA", at positions 28 to 507 of the family's 1533-position model. The record is from RNAcentral.
GAUGAAUGCUGGCGGCGUGCUUAACACAUGCAAGUCGAACGAAGCACUUUAUUUGAUUUCCUUCGGGACUGAUUAUUUUGUGACUGAGUGGCGGACGGGUGAGUAACGCGUGGGUAACCUGCCUUGUACAGGGGGAUAACAGUUGGAAACGGCUGCUAAUACCGCAUAAGCGCACGGCAUCGCAUGAUGCAGUGUGAAAAACUCCGGUGGUAUAAGAUGGACCCGCGUUGGAUUAGCUAGUUGGUGAGGUAACGGCCCACCAAGGCGACGAUCCAUAGCCGACCUGAGAGGGUGACCGGCCACAUUGGGACUGAGACACGGCCCAAACUCCUACGGGAGGCAGCAGUGGGGAAUAUUGCACAAUGGGCGAAAGCCUGAUGCAGCGACGCCGCGUGAGCGAAGAAGUAUUUCGGUAUGUAAAGCUCUAUCAGCAGGGAAGAUAAUGACGGUACCUGACUAAGAAGCACCGGCUAAAUACGUG